This is a transfer RNA of Camelus ferus (Wild Bactrian camel), 73 nucleotides long. It matches the Rfam family "tRNA". Rfam says of the family: Transfer RNA (tRNA) molecules are approximately 80 nucleotides in length. Their secondary structure includes four short double-helical elements and three loops (D, anti-codon, and T loops). NCBI's taxonomy places the organism in Eukaryota, Metazoa, Chordata, Mammalia, Artiodactyla, Camelidae. The record is from Rfam.
GAGGGUAUAUUUCAAGUGGUAGAUUGUGUGCUUAGCAUGCACGAGGUCCUGGGUUCAAUCCCCAGUACUUCCC